UAAUACCGCAUAACCACAGAAACCACAUGGUUUCUGUGUCAAAGAUGGUUUCAGCUAUCACUUUGGGAUGGACCCGCGGCGUAUUAGCUAGUUGGUAAGGUAAUGGCUUACCAAGGCAAUGAUACGUAGCCGAACUGAGAGGUUGAUCGGCCACAUUGGGACUGAGACACGGCCCAAACUCCUACGGGAGGCAGCAGUAGGGAAUCUUCCACAAUGGACGAAAGUCUGAUGGAGCAACGCCGCGUGAGUGAAGAAGGUUUUCGGAUCGUAAAACUCUGUUGUCAGAGAAGAACGUGUGCGAGAGUAACUGUUCGUGCAGUGACGGUAUCUGGCCAGAAAGCCACGGCUAACUACGUGCCAGCAGCCGCGGUAAUACGUAGGUGGCGAGCGUUGUCCGGAUUUAUUGGGCGUAAAGGGAACGCAGGCGGUCUUUUAAGUCUGAUGUGAAAGCCUUCGGCUUAACCGAAGUCGUGCAUUGGAAACUGGGAGACUUGAGUGCAGAAGAGGAGAGUGGAACUCCAUGUGUAGCGGUGAAAUGCGUAGAUAUAUGGAAGAACACCAGUGGCGAAAGCGGCUCUCUGGUCUGUAACUGACGCUGAGGUUCGAAAGCGUGGGUAGCAAACAGGAUUAGAUACCCUGGUAGUCCACGCUGUAAACGAUGAAUGCUAAGUGUUGGAAGGGUUUCCGCCCUUCAGUGCCGCAGCAAACGCAUUA
RNAcentral lists this ribosomal RNA (714 nucleotides) under uncultured bacterium. Its description in RNAcentral is "bacterial SSU rRNA". It matches the Rfam family "Bacterial small subunit ribosomal RNA", at positions 164 to 862 of the family's 1533-position model. The record is from RNAcentral.